Molecule: long non-coding RNA, 402 nt
Organism: Cygnus olor (mute swan)
Lineage: Eukaryota; Metazoa; Chordata; Aves; Anseriformes; Anatidae
Exons: 4
Source: RefSeq, a predicted model, not a curated record
UGAAUGUUCUGUCCUACAGAUCGCAAAGUUGGAUGUCUCAGGUUUUCAGAAAAUCCUCAUGGUUUCCCUGCCUCUGGUGUGUGGAGUCAGAGCCAGGCAUGCAGGAGCCACCAGUGAGAAGUGUUUCGUUCUGGACAUCAGAGAGUGAGCCUGAAGUGGAGGAGGACAACAGAGGAGCGUCAGACCAGAGGUUUGCAAGAGUACUACGUGAUGGUCAGUAAGCUUAGCAAACUUGGAUGAAUGGAUUGGGGUGGUGGCGGUGCAUGUUUCAGGCUGAGACACAGGAAGCACAUUUCAGUGUGACUGUACAACACAACUGGAUCCCAAGGAAAGUCCUCCCAGAAAGCUUUGCAGAGCAGGGAGGAGGAGGCUAGUAGUGAGCAGUGACUAAACCGGAGGAGG